CCCGCAUUCACCCGUACUGUACAGGCAUGGGGGAGGACCGAGCUUAGAAAGCGAGUAAACGCUGGUAGAGAGUUUCCCCUCCGCACACCGUGGCCAUGACUUUGGCAGUCCCGGGCGGCGGCAGCAGCGGCUCUCCCGUCUCCACGCACCUGAUAGCGGACUGAAAGGGGGAAGCUAACACCGGGGGAGAGGCAUUAGCAGACCGAGACGAUUUUCCAGACGGGUGUCAGAACAGUUCAUCUAUUUCAAGGAAGAGGCUCUGCCAUGUGAUGUUUUUGCCAAUAAAGAAGACUGGUCUCCAUCUUCAAAGCACCAGGUGGAGCCCCUGAAGAAACCUCCCUGUUGGUAUUCCGAGGCAGAGCCAAGCAUCGGCUCCUAUUUUCAGAUGGACCCUGGCAAACCACCAGCAUUGUUUUUCAGACAACAGAAGAUAGAAAAAUAUAUUUAAGAUUGAUACAGCACAGUUUUACCUCCCGCCAUCUUGCUCCGAUCCAGUCAUAGAGAGAAACACACUUCUGCUUUCUACCUCCUAGAGAAAUAGAAAAGGAAGAAAAAAAGAAAAAGGAAAAAAAAUAGCAAUUUAUUAUCCGUUAUCAGUUUCUUCUUUUUCUUCUCUACGUGCAGCAUUUUUUCCAUUUUACCUCAGGGAUUUUCUCCCACUGCCUACCUCCUCCACCGAAACAGCCAACCCAGUGACUGGAACACGGAGCAAAAAAAAAAAAACAAAAAAACAACACACAUCCGUGACAUCUCACUGUUGUUACCGUGACAACCUGUAUUGCCUCUCAAGCUCUCCUUACUGCAACCGUGACGACCAGCAAUGACCUUGGACCUCAUGCCACCUGCCAGCUCUAUCCUGCUCCCUGCCUAAAUUGUGCUGACCCGCGCUAGCCCGGCGACUCGGAGGCUAGUUAUUACCGGACGGACGAGGGCAGCUCCACUCUAACAAUAGCCUAACCCCCCUAUCUGUACAGUAUACCUGGCAGGCAACUAUAUACCUCAGCAACCACAGCUUCUACAUAGACGCUCUGUCCAGGAACACAGAAGGGAAACAGCAACAGCAUUCACUAUUCUGGUGCUUUAAUCUGCCCAGCAGGUAACACGUGCUCAGUAGUCUGGUGCUUCAAUCUACCCAGUAGACAACUCACUCCGGCAUCUUCCAUUUCGCCUCAGAGGCAAGAAUAUAGCAACAGUAGCCAGGGAGGCCUCCAGAGAAGCAAGGCGAGAGACUCGGGAGUACCGCCUGGCAGGAAACUUCACUUCAUUCUCUCAGCAGGAAAGUCGCAUCAUCACACACACGAGCCUCACGAUCCGAGCGGUAGCAUAAAUCAGCGAUUGCCCACGGGGCCCCGCAGAAGUUUCCCCCCCGUCUUGCCUUGAGUUUACUCUUCACCUCGCGAAGCCCCCCCAGAGUGGUGAAAAGCUAUCCAAGGAGCAAGGAGAAGUUCUCGGGAGCCUUGGCGGCUUUUCCUCCACUCCGCUGGCAAGACGCGGAGGAUAAAAAGAACUUUCUGGCAGAUUUCAGGCAGAGCAUUAUAGACGCUGGAACAGAGUAAACACUGACAACAUCCAUAUUGUGCGGCGGCGGCGAAGAGCGAAGGGAGCAGAACCAGUGAAGAAGAAUGCAAUGGUGAGUUCCUGUCGGUCCAUCAGCAUACACCGGUGAUCUAACAGAAUUAA
Long non-coding RNA from Stegastes partitus (bicolor damselfish), 1680 nucleotides. RefSeq lists it as uncharacterized. Lineage: Eukaryota; Metazoa; Chordata; Actinopteri; Pomacentridae. The record is from RefSeq and is a predicted model, not a curated record. The transcript is spliced from 3 exons.